Molecule: unclassified non-coding RNA, 296 nt
Filed under: uncultured Tephrocybe
Lineage: Eukaryota; Fungi; Basidiomycota; Agaricomycetes; Agaricales; Tricholomataceae
Description: sequence contains ITS2
Rfam family: 5.8S ribosomal RNA (bases 1-52)
Source: RNAcentral
AACGCACCUUGCGCUCCCUGGUAUUCCGGGGAGCAUGCCUGUUUGAGUGUCAUUAAAUUCUCAACCUUUACAGUUUUUACUAGCUGUUCAGGCUUGGAUGUGGGGGUUGCGGGCUUCUCACGAAGUCGGCUCUCCUUAAAUGCAUUAGCGAAACCUUUGUUGACCAGCUAUGGUGUGAUAAUUAUCUACGCUACAGUGAAUCAGCUUUAUUAUGGGGCUUUGCUUCUAACCGUCCUCUAGGGGACAACUCUUGACAUUUUGACCUCAAAUCAGGUAGGACUACCCGCUGAACUUAA